Molecule: unclassified non-coding RNA, 303 nt
Filed under: Hysteriales sp.
Lineage: Eukaryota; Fungi; Ascomycota; Dothideomycetes; Hysteriales
Description: partial contains 5.8S ribosomal RNA, internal transcribed spacer 2, and large subunit ribosomal RNA
Rfam family: Eukaryotic large subunit ribosomal RNA (bases 197-303)
Source: RNAcentral
CGCACAUUGCGCCCUUUGGUAUUCCGAGGGGCAUGCCUGUUCGAGCGUCAUUUCAACCAUCAAGCCCAGCUUGGUAUUGGACCCGGCCCUGGGGCCAGUCCGUAACUAGUUGGCGGUGCUGUGCAGCCUUAAGCGUAACAGAAAUCUCGCUUCUGGGUUGACACGGCGUCUGCCGGUUAAGCCAUUCUCUGAAGUUUGACCUCGGAUCAGGUAGGGAUACCCGCUGAACUUAAGCAUAUCAAUAAGCGGAGGACGAGAGCGAACAAGGAUUCCCUCAGUAACUGCGAGUGAAGAGGGAGUAGC